Molecule: ribosomal RNA, 301 nt
Filed under: uncultured bacterium
Lineage: Bacteria
Description: partial 16S ribosomal RNA
Rfam family: Bacterial small subunit ribosomal RNA
Source: RNAcentral
CAGCCGCCGCGGUAAUACGUAGGGUGCGAGCGUUAAUCGGAAUUACUGGGCGUAAAGCGUGCGCAGGCGGUUGUGUAAGACAGGUGUGAAAUCCCCGGACUUAACCUGGGAACUGCGCUUGUGACUGCACAGCUAGAGUAUGGCAGAGGGGGGUGGAAUUCCACGUGUAGCAGUGAAAUGCGUAGAGAUGUGGAGGAACACCGAUGGCGAAGGCAGCCCCCUGGGCCAAUACUGACGCUCAUGCACGAAAGCGUGGGGAGCAAACAGGAUUAGAUACCCGCGUAGUCCCUGUCUCUUAUAC